This is a long non-coding RNA of Bos taurus (domestic cattle), 471 nucleotides long. The record is from Ensembl. Lineage: Eukaryota; Metazoa; Chordata; Mammalia; Artiodactyla; Bovidae.
AGGGCACACUGUCCUGGGCAGCUGCAGUAGCUAACGGCUUGAUCCUUUUAUACUGGAAUGGCAGAUGAGAAAAGGGAGACCCAGAAAAACUGAGUUACAUGCUAAAGUUGUUAUAGAAAUACUCUCCAGCCAAGCCCCUUGCCCUUGCCAGAAUGGUUCUGAUCACAUUGGCUCUUGAGGUUAAGGAAGAAGGAAACAUUCCUGUGGGUGGAGGUGCCUAAGGAAGGCAUCCUCUCACAUUGGGUUCAAAGCCAAGAUCUUUGCUCCGUGAAGUCCUAUUUUCAUGGGGUUGAGACAAAAACCCCAUUUACAGAUGAAAUUGUUGCUCAUGCUGGCAAACUGAAGCAAACUGACUGCCUGGAGAUGGUGUGCUUUGUUAAUUCAGCAUCAAGCUGUUGUCCUGGAGGGGGAAAUAUCUCUCUCUACCUCUUUCUGGUCAUCUCGUGGCUGAACUAAUAAUAAAACUGGUAC